UUCCGCCCCAAUCUCCGGCGCCACCAAAUCCUCGACGCCCAAAAUCCUCCACCACCCAAUUCCUCCGCCGACCAAAUUCGCCCGCUGCCCCAAACGCGCUGCUUAAGGCCCCUGCGCCCCAAAUCCUCCCGCCGCCGCAUCUCGUCAAAACGCGCCGCUCAAGGCCCCGCCGCUCCAAAUUCUUUGGACAGAACCGGUCUACAAUGACGCCGAGGAAAGAGCUGAGAAGAGCUGAAGAUUUGAAUAACACGAAGAGCUGAAGAUUUGAAUAACACGAAGAUCUGAGAAGAGCUGAGAAGGUCCUGUUGACUCUUGUAGUGUUCUUGCAGAGCUGAAGAUUUUGUUCACGUUUGGUCGAGCAGAGGUAUGCAUCGUGAGCCAGAAGGAUUUGUUCUUGCAAUCCUACAGUUUGAUCUUUCACACAGGUUAAUUGUUUACCUUGUGUAAGCAUUUUUCAGUAUUUGUGUAAUGAUUCAGGAUUCUAUUUCUUAUGUUCCCUGCCAAGUCAAUUUUAGGUGUUGGGCUAUGGUAUUAGGAGUCUUUUUUGUGUUCUGUCUCUUAAGAACAUUGCUCCCAGGGAAAUUGGGACAGUGGCUACAUCCUCUCUAUAUGAUAUGUUACCAUGGAUUGGAUGGUAUUUCCUGGCA
Long non-coding RNA from Phragmites australis (common reed), 647 nucleotides. RefSeq lists it as uncharacterized. Lineage: Eukaryota; Viridiplantae; Streptophyta; Magnoliopsida; Poales; Poaceae. The transcript is spliced from 2 exons. The record is from RefSeq and is a predicted model, not a curated record.